Tachysurus vachellii is the source of this 325-nucleotide long non-coding RNA. RefSeq lists it as uncharacterized. Lineage: Eukaryota; Metazoa; Chordata; Actinopteri; Siluriformes; Bagridae. The record is from RefSeq and is a predicted model, not a curated record. The transcript has 3 exons.
AAAUUAUUAAAAACUUUUGUAGGAAUGUGGCUGCAUCACUCUUGUCUUCACCUGCACCGGCUGCAACACUUUCACCUUCGUUUGAUCCACGCGAGGAACAUUCAUCCAGUGAAUGUGGCUGCAACACGUUCACCUUCGUCUGAUACUCGCACAAGGGCACGCAGCAACGCAACUGGGAACAAAAAAGAGAAUGUGUCUGCAUCACCUUUACCUUUACCAUCACCUGCUACUCACACACACCGUAGGUCUCUUUCAGUCUCAAAGCAACUGAGACUGAUGUGUGUUCAGUUAAAUAGGAACUGUUUUGAGCAAGGGCAUGACGACA